Molecule: ribosomal RNA, 590 nt
Filed under: uncultured bacterium
Lineage: Bacteria
Description: bacterial SSU rRNA
Rfam family: Bacterial small subunit ribosomal RNA
Source: RNAcentral
UCCUACGGGAGGCAGCAGUAGGGAAUCUUCCGCAAUGGACGAAAGUCUGACGGAGCAACGCCGCGUGAGUGAUGAAGGCUUUCGGGUCGUAAAACUCUGUUGUUAGGGAAGAACAAGUGCUAGUUGAAUAAGCUGGCACCUUGACGGUACCUAACCAGAAAGCCACGGCUAACUACGUGCCAGCAGCCGCGGUAAUACGUAGGUGGCAAGCGUUAUCCGGAAUUAUUGGGCGUAAAGCGCGCGCAGGUGGUUUCUUAAGUCUGAUGUGAAAGCCCACGGCUCAACCGUGGAGGGUCAUUGGAAACUGGGAGACCUGAGUGCAGAAGAGGAAAGUGGAAUUCCAUGUGUAGCGGUGAAAUGCGUAGAGAUAUGGAGGAACACCAGUGGCGAAGGCGACUUUCUGGUCUGUAACUGACACUGAGGCGCGAAAGCGUGGGGAGCAAACAGGAUUAGAUACCCUGGUAGUCCACGCCGUAAACGAUGAGUGCUAAGUGUUAGAGGGUUUCCGCCCUUUAGUGCUGAAGUUAACGCAUUAAGCACUCCGCCUGGGGAGUACGGCCGCAAGGCUGAAACUCAAAGGAAUUGACGGA